CGAACGAGAAAGGGCUUCGGCCCCGGUACAGUGGCGCACGGGUGAGUAACACGUGGGUAAUCUUCCCUCGAGCGGGGGAUAACGUUCCGAAAGGAACGCUAAUACCGCAUAAGACCACGGCUUCGAGAGAAGCUGCGGUCAAAGUAGGCCUCUGAAUUCACGCUUACACUCGAGGAUGAGCCCGCGGCCCAUCAUGGUAGUUGGUAGGGUAACGGCCUACCAAGCCGAAGACGGGUAGCUGGUCUUAGAGGAUGAUCAGCCACACUGGAACUGAGACACGGUCCAGACUCCUACGGGAGGCAGCAGUGGGGAAUCUUGCGCAAUGGGCGAAAGCCUGACGCAGCGACGCCGCGUGGGUGAUGAAGGCCUUCGGGUCGUAAAGCUCUGUGGGGAGAGACGAAUAAGGCACGGCGAAUACCCGUGGUGAUGACGGUAUCUCCUUAGCAAGCACCGGCUAACUCUGUGCCAGCAGCCGCGGUAAGACAGAGGGUGCAAACGUUGUUCGGAAUUACUGGGCGUAAAGCGUGUGUAGGCGGCCAUGUAAGUUGGAUGUGAAAGCCCGGGGCUCAACCUCGGAAGUGCAUUCAAUACUGCGUGGCUUGAGUAUCGGAGAGGUUGGUGGAAUUCUCGGUGUAGAGGUGAAAUUCGUAGAUAUCGAGAGGAACACCGGUGGCGAAGGCGGCCAACUGGACGAAUACUG
Molecule: ribosomal RNA, 700 nt
Filed under: uncultured Polyangiaceae bacterium
Lineage: Bacteria; Pseudomonadati; Myxococcota; Polyangiales; Polyangiaceae
Description: bacterial SSU rRNA
Rfam family: Bacterial small subunit ribosomal RNA
Source: RNAcentral